AACGAACGCUGGCGGCAUGCCUAACACAUGCAAGUCGAACGAGACCUUCGGGUCUAGUGGCGCACGGGUGCGUAACGCGUGGGAACCUGCCCUUAGGUUCGGAAUAACUCCCCGAAAGGGGUGCUAAUACCGGAUAAUGUCUUCGGACCAAAGAUUUAUCGCCUUCGAUGGGCCCGCGUUGGAUUAGCUAGUUGGUAGGGUAAAAGCCUACCAAGGCGACGAUCCAUAGCUGGUCUGAGAGGAUGAUCAGCCACACUGGGACUGAGACACGGCCCAGACUCCUACGGGAGGCAGCAGUGGGGAAUAUUGGACAAUGGGCGAAAGCCUGAUCCAGCAAUGCCGCGUGAGUGAUGAAGGCCUUAGGGUUGUAAAGCUCUUUUACCCGGGAUGAUAAUGACAGUACCGGGAGAAUAAGCUCCGGCUAACUCCGUG
RNAcentral lists this ribosomal RNA (432 nucleotides) under uncultured bacterium. RNAcentral's name for it is "partial 16S ribosomal RNA". It matches the Rfam family "Bacterial small subunit ribosomal RNA", at positions 29 to 507 of the family's 1533-position model. The record is from RNAcentral.